This 549-nucleotide ribosomal RNA is filed under the name Rhadinocentrus ornatus. Its description in RNAcentral is "partial 16S large subunit ribosomal RNA". The stretch from base 183 to 549 matches the Rfam family "Bacterial large subunit ribosomal RNA", at positions 566 to 1063 of the family's 2925-position model. Lineage: Eukaryota; Metazoa; Chordata; Actinopteri; Atheriniformes; Melanotaeniidae. The record is from RNAcentral.
CGCCCAACAGCUAGCUUAACCAAACACCUCAACACUUACAUAUUAAUUAUUAAAUACAUAAAAGUAUAAACAAACCAUUUUUCCACUUUAGUAUGGGCGACAGAAAAAGUUAAUCCAACGCAAUAGAAAAAGUACCGCAAGGGAACGCUGAAAGAGAAAUGAAAUAACUCAGUCAAGCAUAAAAAAGCAGGGAUAAACUCCCGUACCUUUUGCAUCAUGAAUUAGCUAGAGUCCGCCAAGCAAAAAGCAUUUUAGUUUGAAAACCCGAAACUAAGGGAGCUACUCCAAGACAGCCUAAUAAAUAGGGCCAACCCGUCUCUGUGGCAAUAGAGUGGGAAGAGCUUUGAGUAGAGGUGAUAAGCCUACCGAACUUAGUUAUAGCUGGUUACCUGGAAAUUGAAUAGAAGUUCAGCCUCUUGGAUUCUUUCUUCCCCUUUGGUUACACCUAAACAAGAUGAAAAGAAGCUAAGAGAGUUAGUCAAAGGGGGUUCAGCCCCUUUGAAAAAAGAAACAACUUUUUGGAAUGGGUAAGGAUCAUACCCCUCAAGG